UACGAAGGGGGCUAGCGUUGCUCGGAAUCACUGGGCGUAAAGCGCACGUAGGCGGCUUCUUAAGUCAGGGGUGAAAUCCUGGAGCUCAACUCCAGAACUGCCUUUGAAACUGCGGGGCUUGAGGCCGGGAGGGGGUAGCGGAAUUCCCAGUGUAGCGGUGAAAUGCGUAGAUAUUGGGAGGAACACCAGUGGCGAAGGCGGCUACCUGGACCGGUUCUGACGCUGAUGCGCGAAAGCGUGGGUAGCAAACAGG
RNAcentral lists this ribosomal RNA (253 nucleotides) under uncultured bacterium. RNAcentral describes it as "partial 16S ribosomal RNA". It matches the Rfam family "Bacterial small subunit ribosomal RNA", at positions 524 to 776 of the family's 1533-position model. The record is from RNAcentral.